GAUGAACGCUGGCGGCGUGCCUAAUACAUGCAAGUCGAGCGAACGGACGAGAAGCUUGCUUCUCUGAUGUUAGCGGCGGACGGGUGAGUAACACGUGGAUAACCUACCUAUAAGACUGGGAUAACUUCGGGAAACCGGAGCUAAUACCGGAUAAUAUUUUGAACCGCAUGGUUCAAAAGUGAAAGACGGUCUUGCUGUCACUUAUAGAUGGAUCCGCGCCGCAUUAGCUAGUUGGUAAGGUAACGGCUUACCAAGGCAACGAUGCAUAGCCGACCUGAGAGGGUGAUCUGCCACCCUGGAACUGAGACACGGUCCAGACUCCUACGGGAGGCAGCAGUAGGGAAUCUUCCGCCAUUGGCGGAAGCCUGACGGAGCAACGCCGGGUGAGUGAUGAAGGUCUUCGGUUCGUAAAACUCUGUUAUUAGGGAAGAACAUAUGUGUAAGUAACUGUGCACAUCUUGACGGUACCUAAUCAGAAAGCCACGGCUAACUACGUG
RNAcentral lists this ribosomal RNA (497 nucleotides) under uncultured bacterium. RNAcentral's name for it is "partial 16S ribosomal RNA". It matches the Rfam family "Bacterial small subunit ribosomal RNA", at positions 28 to 507 of the family's 1533-position model. The record is from RNAcentral.